UACGGGGGGAGCAAGCGUUGUUCGGAUUUACUGGGCGUAAGGGCGCGUAGGCGGCCACCGCAAGUCGACUGUGAAAUCUCCGGGCUUAACCCGGAAAGGUCAGCCGAUACUGCGGGGCUAGAGUGCAGAAGGGGCAACUGGAAUUCUCGGUGUAGCGGUGAAAUGCGUAGAUAUCGAGAGGAACACCUGCGGCGAAGGCGGGUUGCUGGGCUGACACUGACGCUGAUGUGCGAAAGCUAGGGGAGCGAACGGG
Molecule: ribosomal RNA, 253 nt
Filed under: uncultured bacterium
Lineage: Bacteria
Description: partial 16S ribosomal RNA
Rfam family: Bacterial small subunit ribosomal RNA
Source: RNAcentral